RNAcentral lists this transfer RNA (74 nucleotides) under Podarcis lilfordi (Lilford's wall lizard). Its description in RNAcentral is "tRNA.Lys". The stretch from base 8 to 65 matches the Rfam family "tRNA", at positions 8 to 63 of the family's 71-position model. Rfam says of the family: Transfer RNA (tRNA) molecules are approximately 80 nucleotides in length. The record is from RNAcentral. Lineage: Eukaryota; Metazoa; Chordata; Lepidosauria; Squamata; Lacertidae.
CGCUGGAUAGCUCAGUCGGUAGAGCAUGAGACUCUUAAUCUCAGGGUUGUGGGUUUGAAUCCCAUGUUGGGUGA